This is a long non-coding RNA of Homo sapiens (human), 3272 nucleotides long. Ensembl annotates it as NAXD antisense RNA 1. Its record names the gene NAXD-AS1. NCBI's taxonomy places the organism in Eukaryota, Metazoa, Chordata, Mammalia, Primates, Hominidae. The record is from Ensembl.
AAUAUCCAGUCCCUCUCGUCCAAGGACGUGCAGGGUCUGUACUUGCCCAGUCGCACUGGGACUUCAAAUUGGGGAUGCAGACACGGCCCUGCUCCUGGUGUGCGCGAAGCCCGCUCAGCCGGCCAGCUCGCCUGCACGCCCGCCGCGUCCCUGGGCCCCAGGAGGGCCCCCGUAUCCAGCUCCGACCAAACAGCAAGCCCGCAGUUGGCGAGCAUCUUUCCCAGACCGGGAGCGGGGACAGAGCAGAGCAGACGGAUCCGACCAGCGCACCACGGCGCCCCAGGGCCCUCCUACCGUCCUCGGCCCUCGGCCCCCCGUUCCCCGGCCACCGCGCGGGCUCCGCCGCUCCUGGGACGCGCACUGGCUCCGGCCCGGCGCCACCCUCUGCCCCUCUGUCACCCCGCACGGAGGCUCCCAUCACCCAAGCCGCGCCCAGCCGUCGCCGCGCCGUUCCAGGAGGCCUCCGUCCUCUCCCUACUCCGCCCCGCAGGCCACACGGCGCCCCGGCCCCGCGCGCGGGCUGCCCCUCGGCGGCGCUUCCCCCCCGCGAGCCAGCAGAGGCGGUCAGCGGUCGGGUACCUGCGUCCAGUGGCGGCCCGUACAGCGCGAGUGCGGCCGAGAGCAAUGCGACAACGACCGCGCCGGCGACGGCAGUUCCGGCCCCCGCGCGUGUGACCAUCCCCGGGCCAAAUGGAAUCGACCUUACCUCGUCUGCAAGCCCGGAUUGCCCCACAGCGAGGACCCAGGGCCAUCGGGCAGCAUUCCGGAUUCCCAGCUGCCCCCGCGCCGUCGCCGGAAACACAGCCAUUGGAAGCGUUUUCCGGUUUCCCGACCGCCUCCGCGCGGCUGUCGGCAGUGGGAUCCCAACUCGCUCAAUCACACCCGGUUCUAGAUGAUUGACAAGCGCGACGCCCAACCCGGCCUGGUCCCAGCUCUGGCCUAAGAGGUUCGGCUGGAAGGCAGGUUGAAGAGUUAACAACGAUCUGGUUCAGGGUCUGGUUUGUGUUUAUCGGCCCAUUUUUAGGCUUGCGGCGUUAUAGAAAAUGAUUUUGCUGGCAGGUGGAGUGCCGAGGCCCACUAUGUGCCCCCAGUAUAGCAGUCAGGUGCCUUUCUGCUCCAGGCGCAACCUCUGCCCUGAACCCCAAACCAGCUCGCUGCGAGGCCCCUUCGCUUUCCACCGUCUCAGGUCAGGGCAGCUCCAUCACUCCAACGCUGAGGCCCAAACCCCUGGAAGGCAUUCUGACCUCUCCUGCCCUCCCACCCACGCUCCUCCUGUGGCUGAUGGCCUCUUACCUCCACUGCCGCCCUAUUUGAAGCCACCGUCAUGGUGCUAAAAGAAACUUGUGGGGCCAGGUGCGGUGGCUCGCGCGUGUGAUCCCAAUGCUUUGGGAGGCCAAGAUGGAAGGAUCGUUUGAGCCCAGGAGUUUGAGACCAGCCUGGACAACAUAAGGAGACCCCCUUCUCUACCAAAAUUUUUUUGGAAAAUUAGCAGGGGAUGGUGUGGCACACCUGUAGUCCAGCUACUUGAGAGGCUGAGGUGAAAGGAUGGCUCAACAUGUCAGAGGCCUUUUAACCAGAGCGAUUCCAUCUUGAAUAGGGACUGGGUAAAAUGAGGGUGAGACCUACUGGGCUGCAUUCCCAGGGGGUUAGACAUUCUUGGCCACAGGAUGAGGUGGUGGGCACAAGAUACAGGUCACAAAGACCGCACUGAUAAGAUGACACAGUAAAGAAACUGGCCCAAAGCCUACCAAAACCAAGAUGGCCACAAAAGUGACCUCUGUGUCCUCAUUGCUCAUUAUUUGCUGAUUAUAACGUAUUAGCAUGCUAAAGGACACUCCUACCAGCGCCAUGAGAGUUUACAAAUGCUAUGGCAACAUCAGGAAAUUACUCUAUAUGGUCUAAAAAGGGGAGGAACCCUCAGUUCCAGCAAUUGCCAACCUCUUUCCCAGAAAACUCAUGAAUAAUCCCCUCCUUAUUUAGCCUAUAAUCAAGAGAUAACUAUAACUAUGUGUGGAGUUAGUUCCUGCCGGUGGGUUCAUGGUCUCACUGACUUCAAGAAUGAAGCUGCGGACCUUCACAGUGUUACAGCUCUUAAAGGUGGCAUAGACCCAAAGAGUGAGCAGCAGCAAGAUUUAUUAUGAAGAGGCCGGGCGUGGUGGCUCAUGCCUGUAAGCCCAGCACUUUGGGAGGCCGAGGCGGGUGGAUCACAAGGUCAGGAGAUCGAGACCAUCUUGGCUAACACGGUGAAACCCUGUCUCUACUAAAAAUACAAAAAAUUAGCCGGACAUGGUGGCGGGCGCCUGUAAUCCCAGCUACCCAGGAGGCUGAGGCAGGAGAAUGGCGUGAACCUGGGAGGCAGAGCUUCCAGUGAGCCGAGAUCGGGCCACUGCACUCCAGCCUGGGCCACAGAGCGAGACUCCACCUCAAAAAAAAAAAAAAAAAGAUUCAUUAUGAAGAGCAAAAGAACAAAGCUUCCACAGCAUGGAAGGGGACCCAAGUGGAUUGCUGCUGCUGGCUGGCGGGGGUGGGGGGGUGGGGCAGCUUUUAUUCCCUUAUUUCUCCCCUCCCAUGUUCUGUUUCUGCCCUAUCGGAAUGCCCUUUUUUCAAUCUUUCCUGCAAUUGGCUACUUUUAGGAUCCUGCUGAUUGGUGCGUUUUACAGAGCACUGAUUGGUGCAUUUUACAAUCCUCUUGCUAGCUACAGAGCGCUCAUUGGUGCAUUUUACAAUCCUAGCUACAGAGUGCUGAUUGGUGCAUUUUACAAUCCUCUUGUAAGACAGAAAAGUUCUCCAAGUCCCCACUCGACCCAGGAAGUCCAGCUGGCUUCAAGUCUCAUAAGUAUAUUCAGUCAAGCAGCCAGUGCCACUGCUCUGCCUAUGGAGUAGCCAUUCUUUUAUUCCCUUUCUUAAUAAGUUUGCUUUCAAUUUAUGGACUCGCCCAGAAUUCUUUCUUGCACAAGGUCCAAGAACCCUCUUGAGGUCUGGAUUGGAACCCCUUUCUGAUAACAGAGUGAAACCCUGAACUACACCUACCAGACCAAACCAGUAAGGAGUUUAACUACAGUAACUGAGCUUUACUUCAUGGCAGGAAACUCUGUAACCAGUUAAGCAAUGAAGUUAUAAUCAAAUUAGCUGUCUCCAUCACACACUUCUGUUUCCUAUAGGUGCUGUCAGAUCAGGUUCCUGAUUGGAGUUCUCUUAUCUGCUCUGGUUUGGAGGGCUGCCCCAUUCGGGAAUCUGUUUUGUUUUGCUCAAAUACACUCAGUUAAAACAUA